AGGAAGGGCGUUCUAGGCAGAGGGAACAGCAUGGGCUAGGAUUCUGAGGCAGAAUGAAGCGUGUGCCCUCCCAGAAGUGAAGGAAAGCAGGGGGGCUGGAGCUCCUACCACGAGAGGGAGAGUCAUGCUGUCCAAGGCUGAGGAGGUAGGCGUGGGCUGGACCAGCAGAGCUCUGGACCCACAUAAUGGAUUUUCGUUUUUAUCAAAGAACCGCAAGCGACGGUUUAAAAAAAAAACACGCAAGGCGGAGCAGGGGCCUGCAGCGUGGAGAACAGAUUGGAGGCAGCAAAAGUGGAUGAGGAGCUCUGAGGACCCAGAUCAGCCUGGAUGUAAAAUCUGAAUCAGGUCUCCUCAGGGAGGUUGUGAACCUACACCCCAUCCCGAGGGCAACACCCCAUCCCGAGGGCAACACCCCAUAACGGCAACAACUGCCGUGAUUGAGGCCGUCGCGGUGCUCACGCCAUCUCACCUCAUCCUCGCAGGACCCUCUGGGAGGAGCACUUUUGCUAUUCCCGCUUUACAGGCAUUUUCCAGGGCCCCACCCACCCCGACAACACCGAGACCACCUGUCUGUUAAAGCCUCGCAAAUCCAGCCAGAACCAUCUGAAAGAGUUUAGCAGGCAGGCAGGAAGGCCAGGCUGAAACUGAGUUAGCUGGGAUUCUGCCCGAGGCUCUCACAUCAGCUAUGCAAUGUAACCACUGCCCGGUGCAGAAGACACGCUGCCCUGGGUCUGGCCUUCUGUCACUGGCUCGUCCUCGUUGGCAUCCGGAAGGAGUGCUGUCCUGAGAUUCAGUCUCCGGUAGUUCUGCGUUGGAAGCAGGAAGAGCACAUGGACCUCCUCCCCACCCUAGCGGCUCAAACCAACCCCCUCCCCAACGUGGGCCCCCAGCCAGGUGCUUCCACAGUUUGUGAGAAGCCGCGCUCUGCCUGGUGGGCAUUGCUCUGUGGUCUGAGCACCUGGAGGCAGUCUCCACCCUGUGCCUUCCGAGGUCGUCCCCAGGCCUCGGUAUAAAAUGAGGAUGAUAACGGUACCAACCCCACGGAGCUGUCAGGAGCAUACACGCUUUAAUAUGUGUAAAGGCUUCUGCUACACAGCAGGUGUUGCAAAACAGGCUGCUGUCACCGUCAUCACCACCAGU
Long non-coding RNA from Hippopotamus amphibius kiboko, 1140 nucleotides. RefSeq lists it as uncharacterized. Lineage: Eukaryota; Metazoa; Chordata; Mammalia; Artiodactyla; Hippopotamidae. The transcript has 3 exons. The record is from RefSeq and is a predicted model, not a curated record.